RNAcentral lists this ribosomal RNA (772 nucleotides) under uncultured bacterium. RNAcentral describes it as "bacterial SSU rRNA". It matches the Rfam family "Bacterial small subunit ribosomal RNA", at positions 94 to 877 of the family's 1533-position model. The record is from RNAcentral.
AGCGGCGAACGGGUGAGUAACACGUGAGUAAUCUGCCCUUGGCUUUGGGAUAAGCCCCGGAAACGGGGUCUAAUACCGGAUACGACCAAUCUCUGCAUGGAGUGUUGGUGGAAAGUUUUUUCGGCCAGGGAUGUGCUCGCGGCCUAUCAGCUUGUUGGUGGGGUAAUGGCCUACCAAGGCUUCGACGGGUAGCCGGCCUGAGAGGGUGACCGGCCACACUGGGACUGAGACACGGCCCAGACUCCUACGGGAGGCAGCAGUGGGGAAUAUUGCACAAUGGGCGGAAGCCUGAUGCAGCAACGCCGCGUGAGGGAUGACGGCCUUCGGGUUGUAAACCUCUUUUAGCAGGGAAGAAGCGUGAGUGACGGUACCUGCAGAAAAAGCACCGGCUAACUACGUGCCAGCAGCCGCGGUAAUACGUAGGGUGCAAGCGUUAUCCGGAAUUAUUGGGCGUAAAGAGCUCGUAGGCGGUUUGUCGCGUCUGCUGUGAAACCCCGAGGCUCAACCUCGGGCCUGCAGUGGGUACGGGCAGACUAGAGUGCGGUAGGGGAGAUUGGAAUUCCUGGUGUAGCGGUGGAAUGCGCAGAUAUCAGGAGGAACACCGGUGGCGAAGGCGGUUCUCUGGGCAUUACCUGACGCUGAGGACCGAAAGUGUGGGGAGCGAACAGGAUUAGAUACCCUGGUAGUCCACACCGUAAACGUUGGGCGCUAGGUGUGGGACUCAUUCCACGAGUUCCGUGCCGCAGCUAACGCAUUAAGCGCCCCGCCUGGG